AUUGAACGCUGGCGGAAUGCUUUACACAUGCAAGUCGAGCGGCAGCGCGGGGGCAACCCUGGCGGCGAGCGGCGAACGGGUGAGUAAUAUAUCGGAACGUACCCCGUCGUGGGGGAUAACACAGCGAAAGCUGUGCUAAUACCGCAUACGACCUGAGGGUGAAAGCGGGGGAUCGCAAGACCUCGCGCGAUGGGAGCGGCCGAUAUCGGAUUAGCUUGUUGGUGAGGUAAAGGCUCACCAAGGCGACGAUCCGUAGCUGGUCUGAGAGGACGACCAGCCACACUGGAACUGAGACACGGUCCAGACUCCUACGGGAGGCAGCAGUGGGGAAUUUUGGACAAUGGGGGCAACCCUGAUCCAGCCAUUCCGCGUGAGUGAAGAAGGCCUCGGUUGUAAG
This 397-nucleotide ribosomal RNA is filed under the name uncultured bacterium. RNAcentral's name for it is "bacterial SSU rRNA". It matches the Rfam family "Bacterial small subunit ribosomal RNA", at positions 29 to 429 of the family's 1533-position model. The record is from RNAcentral.